Molecule: ribosomal RNA, 478 nt
Filed under: uncultured bacterium
Lineage: Bacteria
Description: partial 16S ribosomal RNA
Rfam family: Bacterial small subunit ribosomal RNA
Source: RNAcentral
GACGAGCGCUGGCGGCGUGCUUAACACAUGCAAGUCGAACGGUAAGGCCCUUCGGGGUACACGAGUGGCGAACGGGUGAGUAACACGUGGGUGAUCUGCCCUGCACUUCGGGAUAAGCCUGGGAAACUGGGUCUAAUACCGGAUAGGACCACUGCCUGCAUGGGUGGUGGUGGAAAGCUUUUGCGGUGUGGGAUGGGCCCGCGGCCUAUCAGCUUGUUGGUGGGGUGAUGGCCUACCAAGGCGACGACGGGUAGCCGGCCUGAGAGGGUGACCGGCCACACUGGGACUGGGAUACGGCCCAGACUCCUACGGGAGGCAGCAGUGGGGAAUAUUGCACAAUGGGCGCAAGCCUGAUGCAGCGACGCCGCGUGAGGGAUGACGGCCUUCGGGUUGUAAACCUCUUUCAGCACCGACGAAGCGCAAGUGACGGUAGGUGCAGAAGAAGGACCGGCCAACUACGUGCCAGCCGCCGCAGUAA